This 439-nucleotide ribosomal RNA is filed under the name uncultured bacterium. Its description in RNAcentral is "partial 16S ribosomal RNA". It matches the Rfam family "Bacterial small subunit ribosomal RNA", at positions 339 to 795 of the family's 1533-position model. The record is from RNAcentral.
CUACGGGUUGCAGCAGUAGGGAAUAUUGGACAAUGGGCGAAAGCCUGAUCCAGCAAUGCCGCGUGAGUGAUGAAGGCCUUAGGGUUGUAAAGCUCUUUUACCCGGGAUGAUAAUGACAGUACCGGGAGAAUAAGCCCCGGCUAACUCCGUGCCAGCAGCCGCGGUAAUACGGAGGGGGCUAGCGUUGUUCGGAAUUACUGGGCGUAAAGCGCGCGUAGGCGGCGAUUUAAGUCAGGGGUGAAAGCCCAGUGCUCAACACUGGAACUGCCCUUGAGACUGGAUUGCUUGAAUCACGGAGAGGUGGGUGGAAUUCCGAGUGUAGAGGUGAAAUUCGUAGAUAUUCGGAAGAACACCAGUGGCGAAGGCGGCCCACUGGACGUGUAUUGACGCUGAGGUGCGAAAGCGUGGGGAGCAAACAGGAUUAGAUACCCCUGUAGUC